Regulatory RNA element from Pasteurellaceae bacterium 15-036681, 59 nucleotides. It matches the Rfam family "L31-Gammaproteobacteria ribosomal protein leader". NCBI's taxonomy places the organism in Bacteria, Pseudomonadati, Pseudomonadota, Gammaproteobacteria, Pasteurellales, Pasteurellaceae. The record is from Rfam.
CAUAUGGUACUAGGCAAACCGUCGGUUGUGUUUAGUGGCGAUAUGGCUUCUUUUGAGGU